Molecule: ribosomal RNA, 2361 nt
Filed under: Streptomyces diastatochromogenes
Lineage: Bacteria; Bacillati; Actinomycetota; Actinomycetes; Kitasatosporales; Streptomycetaceae
Description: bacterial LSU rRNA
Rfam family: Bacterial large subunit ribosomal RNA
Source: RNAcentral
GCGCGCUCAAGACCCGAAGCGGAGUGAUCUAGCCAUGGGCAGGUUGAAGCGGCUGUAAGAGGUCGUGGAGGACCGAACCCACCAGGGUUGAAAACCUGGGGGAUGACCUGUGGUUAGGGGUGAAAGGCCAAUCAAACUCCGUGAUAGCUGGUUCUCCCCGAAAUGCAUUUAGGUGCAGCGUCGUGUGUUUCUUGCCGGAGGUAGAGCACUGGAUAGGCGAUGGGCCCUACCGGGUUACUGACCUUAGCCAAACUCCGAAUGCCGGUAAGUGAGAGCGCGGCAGUGAGACUGUGGGGGAUAAGCUCCAUGGUCGAGAGGGAAACAGCCCAGAGCAUCGACUAAGGCCCCUAAGCGUACGCUAAGUGGGAAAGGAUGUGGAGUCGCAGAGACAACCAGGAGGUUGGCUUAGAAGCAGCCACCCUUGAAAGAGUGCGUAAUAGCUCACUGGUCUAGUGAUUCCGCGCCGACAAUGUAGCGGGGCUCAAGCGUACCGCCGAAGUCGUGUCAUUGCAGCAAUACGCCCAACGGCGGCUGUGAUGGGUAGGGGAGCGUCGUGUGCCGGGUGAAGCCGCGCCGGAAGGCAGUGGUGGACGGUUCACGAGUGAGAAUGCAGGCAUGAGUAGCGAUACACACGUGAGAAACGUGUGCGCCGAUUGACUAAGGGUUCCUGGGUCAAGCUGAUCUGCCCAGGGUAAGUCGGGACCUAAGGCGAGGCCGACAGGCGUAGUCGAUGGAUAACCGGUUGAUAUUCCGGUACCCGCUGUGAAGCGUCAAACAUUGAACCAGGCGAUGCUAAGUCCGUGAAGCCGCCCCGGAGCCUUCGGGCAAAGGGGAGUGGUGGAGCCGACGGACCAGACCUGCAGUAGGUGAGUGAUGGGGUGACGCAGGAAGGUAGUCCAUCCCGGGCGGUGGUUGUCCCGGGGUAAGGGUGUAGGCCGUGUGAUAGGUAAAUCCGUCGCACAUCAAGGCUGAGACCUGAUGCCGAGCCGAUUGUGGUGAAGUGGAUGAUCCUAUGCUGUCGAGAAAAGCCUCUAGCGAGUUUCAUGGCGGCCCGUACCCUAAACCGACUCAGGUGGUCAGGUAGAGAAUACCGAGGCGUUCGGGUGAACUAUGGUUAAGGAACUCGGCAAAAUGCCCCCGUAACUUCGGGAGAAGGGGGGCCAUCACCGGUGAGAGGAUUUACUCCUUGAGCUGGGGGUGGCCGCAGAGACCAGCGAGAAGCGACUGUUUACUAAAAACACAGGUCCGUGCGAAGCCGUAAGGCGAUGUAUACGGACUGACGCCUGCCCGGUGCUGGAACGUUAAGGGGACCGGUUAGUCACUCUUCGGGGUGGCGAAGCUGAGAACUUAAGCGCCAGUAAACGGCGGUGGUAACUAUAACCAUCCUAAGGUAGCGAAAUUCCUUGUCGGGUAAGUUCCGACCUGCACGAAUGGCGUAACGACUUCUCGACUGUCUCAACCAUAGGCCCGGUGAAAUUGCACUACGAGUAAAGAUGCUCGUUUCGCGCAGCAGGACGGAAAGACCCCGGGACCUUUACUACAGUUUGAUAUUGGUGUUCGGUUCGGCUUGUGUAGGAUAGGUGGGAGACUUUGAAGCGGCAGCGCCAGCUGUUGUGGAGUCGUCGUUGAAAUACCACUCUGGUCGUGCUGGAUGUCUAACCUGGGUCCGUGAUCCGGAUCAGGGACAGUGUCUGAUGGGUAGUUUAACUGGGGCGGUUGCCUCCUAAAGAGUAACGGAGGCGCCCAAAGGUUCCCUCAGCCUGGUUGGUAAUCAGGUGUUGAGUGUAAGUGCACAAGGGAGCUUGACUGUGAGACCGACGGGUCGAGCAGGGACGAAAGUCGGGACUAGUGAUCCGGCGGUGGCUUGUGGAAGCGCCGUCGCUCAACGGAUAAAAGGUACCCCGGGGAUAACAGGCUGAUCUUCCCCAAGAGUCCAUAUCGACGGGAUGGUUUGGCACCUCGAUGUCGGCUCGUCGCAUCCUGGGGCUGGAGUCGGUCCCAAGGGUUGGGCUGUUCGCCCAUUAAAGCGGUACGCGAGCUGGGUUUAGAACGUCGUGAGACAGUUCGGUCCCUAUCCGCUGCGCGCGUAGGAAUAUUGAGAAGGGCUGUCCCUAGUACGAGAGGACCGGGACGGACGAACCUCUGGUGUGCCAGUUGUCCUGCCAAGGGCAUGGCUGGUUGGCUACGUUCGGGAGGGAUAACCGCUGAAAGCAUCUAAGCGGGAAGCCUGCUUCGAGAUGAGUAUUCCCACCCCCUUUGAGGGGUUAAGGCUCCCAGUAGACGACUGGGUUGAUAGGCCGGAUCUGGAAGGCGGGUAACCGCUGGAGGUGACCGGUACUAAUAGGCCGAGGGCUUGUCCUC